This 236-nucleotide unclassified non-coding RNA is filed under the name Fusarium pseudensiforme. Its description in RNAcentral is "partial internal transcribed spacer region". The stretch from base 1 to 46 matches the Rfam family "Eukaryotic small subunit ribosomal RNA", at positions 1786 to 1831 of the family's 1831-position model. Lineage: Eukaryota; Fungi; Ascomycota; Sordariomycetes; Hypocreales; Nectriaceae. The record is from RNAcentral.
AAGUCGUAACAAGGUUUCCGUAGGUGAACCUGCGGAAGGAUCAUUAAUAAUGAAGCCGGGCAACCGGUCCUUCUAACCCUUGAUUAUCUUAAUUUGUUGCUUUGGUGGGCCGCGCAAGCACCGGCUUAGGCUGGAUCGUGCCCGCCAGAGGACCCCUAACUCUGUUUCUAUAAUGUUUCUUCUGAGUAAAACAAGCAAAUAAAUUAAAACUUUCAACAACGGAUCUCUUGGCUCUG